UACUUUAACUUCAGUCGCUUGAAUUGACGCAUGGCGCGCGCUGGCAUUCGCUUUGCUGAAUCCACGAUCACGAUCUCGAGAUUAAACAUUUUGAUUUAGGCUACUCAUUCUUUUCUUUCUACGGAUAAACAAUGGCUGGGAGAAGUGCUUCUUCGUUAUGGAUGGGAGAUAUUGAUCAGUACAUGGACGAGAGGGUGAUCGCUGAAGCCUUCAGUAUGAUGGGAGAACAUGUUUUAUCGGUUAAACUUCUCAAAGAUCACAAGACUGGGCAGAACAGGAAUUAUUGUUUUGUUGAGUUGACAAGUAAGGAAGCCGUCCCCUUGGCUCUCAGAAAACUUACUGGUUUGCCGCUACCAAACUAUCCUGCAAAGCGAUUCAAGUUGAAUUAUUCUCUUCGAGACCAAGGCAACACAUUCCAAACGGCAGGACAAGCCGCCCCAUCCAGUACUCCAAGUCCAUAUGGUAAAGAGUUCUCCAUCUACGUUGGUAACCUCAACACAAGUACAACUGAUGAAGAAUUAUUAGCCCUCUUCUCACAUUACAAAUCUAUCAAGGAAGCAAAGAUUGUCCGAGAUGAUAGCCAGAAUUCCAAGGGCUUUGGCUUUGUACGUUUCUUCAAUGAUACUGACCAAGAAGCAGCUAUCAUGCAGAUGAAUGGAGCCGUAGGUCCCAUGGGUGUCACAUUGAAAGUAGACAGAGCUCAGCCAAAAAAUAGGGAUAUGAAUUCCGGGGGAACAACCGGCGGUAUGAUGCCCAUGGCUAGUGGGGCAACGAUUGCAGCUUAUGCCAACCAGUACCAGACCACCCAGUAUCCCUACCAAGGUGGUAUGGAUCCAUAUUCAGCUUACUCACAGAUGGGUCAACAGAUGCCGCAGCAGCAGCAGGCCUAUCAACCUCCAGUCCAAGCUACCCCUACUCCAGCCCAGCAGACACCCACGUCACAUCCUGCUCAGCAACCGGCUGCUGCUGCCGCCAAGAACGAAGAAGAUGAUGAGACUCUUGAAGGUAAGUGCGAUGCAUUGCAUGAAAAAUGCCGAGUUAGAUUCUUUACUAAUCAAGCCUAAUCAAGCCUUAUUAUUUUGAUUGAUUUGUUAGGGGUACUCCAGGCUGAAGAUUAUUUGCUCUGAACAAAAUAAAGUAAAAUCAGAAAACCAGAACACUAAAAAUUUCUUUGAAUUUUGGGGAGGGAUAACAAAGUUGGAUGGAUUUAAACAUUUAACAAGAAAAAUUAUGUUAUUGGGUGCCCGUUUAAUAUAAAGAUAUCUGCAUAUUUUUUCUUUUUGUUAUAAAACCAGUUCUAACAUAUAUUUGGAUAAUUUUAAGGAUAUCUUUUUAGGUAGCUUUUUGAUAUCCAACCAUUGCAUCUGUAAGAUUCUAAGUGUCCUAAGGUAAACUGAAAUCACACAAGAGAGGGCGCUAUUUCCAGGCUAUAUAUACAAACAGAAUCUUGUGUCAAAUGUUCACACAGAAUUAACAGCUGAAAAAUAUCUAGCUGCACACUUUUGUAAGAUUAGAAUGUAUUAAAUGAUUCUCUACUAUAAUUCGCAUUAUUGGCCCUUGGUACCAAAGCUUUAGAAGGGCUUAAACAUCUUAAAACGAUAUGUUUCUCUUUUUAUUGCCAUAGAUCACAGUGCACCGGUGAACAUGGUAGCAACGAACCUAGCCUACAUUCAAGCCAACCAAGAUUUUUACAAGAAGCUCGCCGAGUCCCGUUGGCAUCCUAUCACCUCCUACUCAGCCACAAUAGAAGAAGUCUGUAAAUAGAGGGCGCUAGUACUUGAAGCCCUUUCCCAGAAGAGUAGCAACACUCUAGACAGCUGAAAUCUGUCUUUUUGGAGAAACAUUUUAUGACCAUUGGUGUCUUCUGCACAGACUGUGUGCUAACUUACACACAGUUUGAGGAAUCUGUACCCCAUAAGCUCAAUGUUUUAUUCUCAGAGAAGCAGGGGCUUUGAUUUUUCUUCAAUGAUUCUUAUUUUGAUAUGAAAUUGCACCAAGGAGGUGCUGAGUUCUAAGACUCUGAUCAGUCAUGGACCUAUAUUUUCAUGAAAAAAUUUGGAUUAAAAUAAAUUAGAAAUCAAUAACUAAUUUUUGGGUUCCUUGUGCACAGUGGGAGAAUGACUUCAAUCUAUGGAGGAGGUCUAGUGACAACACAUAGUCCAACAAAGGAAACAAUGAAAGAGACUUCUUGUCAUCAUGGUCGGCUGACAUCCCUAAACACAAUUGCCCGUAUUCUGAAGUAUGGUUUAAAUUAGAACGCGGUCUAACUCAGUGCUAAAAUUAUCCAGAGCCAAAAACUCUAAAAUUUUGUUUACAUCGUAUAAUCACACGUUUACUGUUUUGUUUCCUUUGCUUUCAUAAUGAAGAAAAACACUUAUCAUUCCCAGAAGGUAUGAAUGAUUUGAGUGUCAUGUGAGUUAAUAAAUUGAAUGUGUACUAAUAGAGAUUUGUCUCCAAAUUGGCUAUCCAUAGUUUAACCACAACUUUAAACCAGGGUUUAAUUUAAACCCAAGUUCGGAAUACAGGCCAAUAUGACAUUACCAUUAUAUUGAUGGCAAAUGAGGAGGUGUUCUUUGGACUCAAUCAGAUUAUUUAUGUAAAAAUUAAAGCACAGUGGUUCAAUUUGUUGCUACUCUUCUCUGUAAAGAUAUUGUAUUCCCAAAAUGGUAUCUUGUGUAUUUAUGUGCCUGUUUACAGCCAACAAUGUGACCUUGGACUACUUCACUCGGUACAUAAUGUCAAUGAAAGGAAAGAUUUUGAGGCUCCAAGACCUAAGUGACCAAUCAGAAAUGUUUCUGGUGUUGCUACUAUCCUAGUAUACCUCGCUGCCCUUCCCACAGAACUCAUAUGAUUAUGAUAUGUAUUCUGAACAUUGCAGUAAACAGGGAUGUCUAAUGACCAAUGAAAAGUAUAUCUCAAAUGGAACACAGAAAUAGGUGUAUGAAAACACCCCCCCCCCCC
This is an RNA transcript of Lytechinus pictus (painted urchin), 2961 nucleotides long. It is a transcript of the gene named tRNA selenocysteine 1-associated protein 1-like, with no coding region annotated. NCBI's taxonomy places the organism in Eukaryota, Metazoa, Echinodermata, Echinoidea, Temnopleuroida, Toxopneustidae. The record is from RefSeq and is a predicted model, not a curated record. The transcript has 9 exons.